RNAcentral lists this ribosomal RNA (506 nucleotides) under uncultured bacterium. RNAcentral's name for it is "partial 16S ribosomal RNA". It matches the Rfam family "Bacterial small subunit ribosomal RNA", at positions 29 to 523 of the family's 1533-position model. The record is from RNAcentral.
AGUGAACGCUGGCGGUAGGCCUAACACAUGCAAGUCGAACGGCAGCACAGGAGAGCUUGCUCUCUGGGUGGCGAGUGGCGGACGGGUGAGGAAUACAUCGGAAUCUACUCUGUCGUGGGGGAUAACGUAGGGAAACUUACGCUAAUACCGCAUACGACCUACGGGUGAAAGCAGGGGACCUUCGGGCCUUGCGCGAUUGAAUGAGCCGAUGUCGGAUUAGCUAGUUGGCGGGGUAAAGGCCAACCAAGGCGACGAUCCGUAGCUGGUCUGAGAGGAUGAUCAGCCACACUGGAACAGAGAGACGGUCCAGACUCCUACGGGAGGCAGCAGUGGGGAAUAUUGGACAAUGGGCGCAAGCCUGAUCCAGCCAUACCGCGUGGGUGAAGAAGGCCUUCGGGUUGUAAAGCCCUUUUGUUGGGAAAGAAAUCCAGCUGGCUAAUACCCGGUUGGGAUGACGGUACCCAAAGAAUAAGCACCGGCUAACUUCGUGCCAGCAGCCGCCGCCG